UUGAAUGAGAUCUGAUGCCCUCU
This 23-nucleotide non-coding RNA is filed under the name Cricetulus griseus (Chinese hamster). The record is from RNAcentral. Lineage: Eukaryota; Metazoa; Chordata; Mammalia; Rodentia; Cricetidae.